UCAAUUUUCAAUCUCAACAAGUGCUAGUUUUGUUUGAAAUCAGUGCCAUUUCACGGUUUUAAACAAAAGGCGCAAAAAGGCAACACACAAGACGCUUUGAACAAGCCCCUUUUCGCUCUGAACUCUUCCACUUUUCCAUUCUCUAUUUCUCUCCCUCUCACCCCCUUCAUUUUUCUUCUCAGUGAUUCCCACUUCUUCUCUGGUCGGCACUGAAGUCAGCGUCAAAGAGAUUCAGUCGGCCUCUUCCUUUUCCGAUCAUUACCCGCCUUCACUUCACGGUGCUUUGGUUAGUUCGCCCAAGCCCAAUCCAAAUGGAUUAAGGAUUUGGUCAGUGUUUUCGGCAAACUCUCUCCCUCUCUCACGCCCUUUGUUUCCCCUGUGAUCUUUGGGUGCUGCAAAUUUGGAAAGCUUUCAGAUUACGGUUUCGUCUUCCACUCCACAUGCUAAUCUCUGUGAUUUUGGGUGCUUUGUUUGUAAGUCGAGUGAACAGGUGGCCAUUGAAGCCAUCAUCAGAGACAUCAUCAUAUGAAGAUUCCUCUCCCCUGCAUGAGCAAGUUCUGACAUUUUUGACAGAGUACAAGGAAUUAAUUCCACAUUUGAGCAGCAUUGUGUCAUCCUCUAUUUCGAGACUCAAGGCACGAAACUAGGUGUUCCAUGAGGUGUAGAAGAUGGUGUUAAAAAACCCAAUAUACUUUGUUCAAUAGAGGGCUUGAGUCUCGUUAAGAAGUGCAAGAUUUUCACUGUCAAGGAUGUGGGAGGUGAUGAGAUGCGGCGUCGAUAUAGCCACCUUGCCUGGGCAAAGACAAGGUCGAAGAGUGGCUACCUACCUUUGCCCCUCACUUGGGUGAGUUGGUAGUUUUUAACCCCACAUACUCUCUAGUCCUAUCAACUCGACGGAUGGGUGGGUGGCUUAAUCCACAUUCUGGAUCCCAUCGUAUCAAAAUUAAAAACCAUAUCACACCCAACAAGCCAAAAACCAUAUCGCAACCAUAUGCAUUCAAACUCCACUACGGACCAUAUUUGUGCAAUGAGACCCAUGGUUGUGCACUAUGUGCUGAUCUUGUGGUUGUCUGCACAUGCAUAUUCACAGUCGUGGGCCUCCAUGCACUAGAAACAUUAGUUAUGAGAAACUUAGGUGGAAGAGAUGGAGGACAAGAGAAGGAGUAGGAAGAGAUGAAGAAAAAUAAAAGGAAAAGAAGAGGAAAUAAAGAACAGAAGGGAAGGGAAGCUUGAAUGGUGCGGCCUUGCUGGAAAACAUGAAGUGGGAGAGUGAAUUGGUUGUUGUUUGGAUUGAGAGAUCUUCUUAAUUCAUUUCAUCUCAUCUAAUAAGUAUAAUUUUUUUAAAUUUCUAAAUAAAAUAUAAUAAACAAUUUAAUUUUUUUAAACUCCAAAAUAAAAAUAAUAUUAAAAUAUUUUAUUCUAAUAAUAUUUUAUUCAAUUUUCAUAUCAUAUCAUUUAUUUCAACUCAUUACUCAAACCUUCCCUUAGGCUUUUUUUUUAUUAUAUACAUAUACUAAAUAUACUGGUAUGCAGGUGAUAUACGAUUAUCUACCAUCCCUUUAGUUUUUGUUCUUAUCCUCCCUCACCCAUCCGCCCACAAACACUUGGCGAGUAGCUUACCCAGUACCUAGUGCCUAAUGGGAGUUGACAAAUGUGCCAGGUGAACUAAUACGCAGGCCGGCCACCACUCCUAAUUAUCAAUAGAAUAAUCUGUUUAAGACAGAAAGCACAAUGAACCAAGACGACGACAAGGGCAGCUCUUGCUUUAUAGAGGAUUUGAACUUUGAUAGGUCCUAGAUUGUACACAACCAAAUAAAAAAUUUAUAUUAGGAUAAAUCUCCACUUAGGGUGGGAGUAGACCACACAAUUCUUCACUUUGGAUGUGAAGGAAACCACAAGAUAGAUCAUUCUUGACAUACCUCUUCCUCACACUACCAUUUACAUAUAUACACUACUUAGAAGGAAACUGCCACACAAAUAACUGCCAGUACACGUUGUAUAAUGACUACUACCAAUAUACAUAAGACAUAACUAUUAUUAACUACUAUAAGCUAAUCUGAACCACUAUUGUUUUUGAAUGGCACUCCAUGUUGGUUUUUUGCUCCUUUUUUUUUGUCCCACACCUAUAGGAAGAAAAUAAAUGGCAUAUGCCUAGGCUUAUAAAUAAGAGGCUUAGCCUCUUAGUUUAAACACACCAGUUGAAAGCUUAUCUCAUAAUUUUUUAUUUUAGUUAAAUUCUUUUUUUGACCUUUUUUGUAAAAGUGGAAGAGGUAGGAAGUUAAAGUUUUGAUAGUGAGUAAGUUUUGUGAGUGUAUUUGGAGUGAGAAGAAAAAUUAUGUAAUUAUAAUAAUUUUUUACAUAUUGAAUUUUUUUCUUUAGGUCUGGUAGUUUUCUCUCCUGUUUAGGAGUUUCCACUUAAAUAUCUUGUAUUGUUAUUAUUUUUCUUGUUAUUCCUGCAAAUGGUAGAUCUUAGGGGAUGAAUUUGAGAUGUACAAAUUUCCAACAAAUAGUAUCAGAGCCACUAAGUUCUUUUUGUGUGGUGGAAUUUUAGUGUGGUGGAGUGGAUACAUACAGUCUAAAGAGUUUCUAUCUAGGAGAUUGGAAAUUUUAAACGUAUCUAUUGUGACCCUCCAAUCUUUUUUAGAAACUUAUUUAAUGAGGUACUAUUCAUCUCUACAGUAAAUUCAUUAAAGCAAUGUCAGGAAAUAGAGUUUCAAAUCUUUUCAGAUUUGAGAUGGAAAAAUUUGAUGAGAGAAUCAAUUUUGGUUUGUAGCAAGUACAAGUCAAGGAUGUCUUGAUUCAAUCAGAAUUACACAAGGCAUUGAAGGGCAAACCAAUACCUGAAGUCAACACUAGUACUAGUGUGACUGGUGAAAAGAGUAAAUCUAAAAUAAGCGAUGAAAAUUGAGAAAAUCUAGAUUUGAGAACAGUAAGUGCGAUACGUCUGUACCUGACCAAAAAUAUUCUUGUAAAUGUGCAUAGAAUAUAUACGAUAAAGGAACUUUGGAAAAAACAUGAAGAGUUGUAUCAGAUGAAAGGUGUCUCAAAUCGUGUGUACCUGAAGAAUCAGUUUUAUACACUGUAGAUGAGUGAAGGUAUAACUAUCUCAGAUCAUUUAAGCAUUCUCAAUGACAUUGUCGCUGAGUUAGAAUUUAUUGGAGUUAAAAUUGAUGAUUAGGAUCAAGCUUUGAGACUCAUCUGGUCUCUUUCUCCUUCCUAUGAGCACAUGAACCCUAUUUUGAUAUAUAGGAAUGAGAAAAUAAUUUUUUUAGAAGUUACCAGUAAAAUCUAUUCUGAAGAGAGAAGAUUAGGUAGUAGAAGUAAUGUUCCACUUGAGAAUUUAGUAAUGGUAGCAGCUAGAAAUAGGAAGAUGAAGAAUUCCAUAAAGAAGAAAGUAGUCUGUUGAAGGUGUGAAUAAUUUGGGCACGUAAAGAAAAAUUGUCUAAGAGUUGAAGCAGAUUCGGCAAGUAGCUCCAAGUUAGUAAAUGGAGAUACUGGAAAUGAUGUUAAUGUUGUGUCUCUCUCCAUGGAAGCUUUUAAUCUUUAAAAAUGGACAUGUAUGUCCUCAUGGUAUGUCGUUAAUUCUCAAAAGUUGUCAUGAUAGAGGAUGUGUUAAUAUCAACGAGUUUACAAGUUUGCACACAGGCAUUGGUUUAGCAUUGAUGCAAGGUGUGUGGUGGAAAUUCAGGUCGAUGGUUGAUGAACUUCCAAGAAAGUCAAAUGUGGAAGUUACACCAGAAUUAUCAGUAAGGUUGUUUUUCGACAUGGGCCGAAGUGAAAUGUUUGGAAUUAGUUUAUUCUGAGUGUAUAUGUUUUUAUUGUGAAGCAUGAUAACGGAAGUUAUGAAAAUCUUAAUUGGGGUGGAGCUUUGCAGUGAGACCAGUCAAAAUCGCAAGGUGGAGAUUGUUGAUUUUUUACUCCUUUUUUUAGUCUCACACCGGUGGAAAGAAAAUAAAGGGCAUAGGCCCAAUCUUAUAAAUAAGAGGCUUAGCCUCUUAGGUUAAAUACACUAGUUGAAAGCUUCUCUAAUAACUUUUAACUUGAGUUAAAUUUUUUUGUUGACCUUUUUUGUAAAAAUGGAAGAGAUGGAAAGUUAAAGUUUUGCUAAUGGGUAAGCUUUGUAGGUGUAUUUGGAGUAAGGAGAAAAAUUGUGUACUUGUAAUAACUUUUCACAUAGUGAGUUUUUUUUCUGGAUCUGGUGGUUUUUUUCUCUUGUUUUGGAGUUUCUACGUAAAUAUCUUGUUUUGUUAUUAUUUCUUUAUUUUUUUUGUUAUUCCUGCAAAUAGUAGAUCUUAAAAUGGGUGAAUUUAGAAGGUCUAAAUUCCCAACACUACACGACUAAAUGUAACUACCAAUGCUCCCAAAUGUUCCAUAUCAGCCAUAACAUUGUCCAUCCUUAAAAA
Molecule: long non-coding RNA, 4403 nt
Organism: Carya illinoinensis
Lineage: Eukaryota; Viridiplantae; Streptophyta; Magnoliopsida; Fagales; Juglandaceae
Exons: 6
Source: RefSeq, a predicted model, not a curated record